RNAcentral lists this ribosomal RNA (392 nucleotides) under uncultured bacterium. RNAcentral describes it as "partial 16S ribosomal RNA". It matches the Rfam family "Bacterial small subunit ribosomal RNA", at positions 523 to 918 of the family's 1533-position model. The record is from RNAcentral.
AUACGGAGGAUCCGAGCGUUAUCCGGAUUUAUUGGGUUUAAAGGGUGCGCAGGCGGCCAUUUAAGUCAGCGGUUAAAUCGUGGGGCUCAACCCCAUUCUGCCGUUGAUACUGGGUGGCUUGAUUGCGGUCGAGGUUGGCGGAAUCCGUUGUGUAGCGGUGAAAUGCAUAGAUAUGACGAAGAACACCGAUUGCGUAGGCAGCUGACCAGACCGCAAAUGACGCUCAUGCACGAAAGUGCGGGGAUCGAACAGGAUUAGAUACCCUGGUAGUCCGCACAGUAAACGAUGAAUACUUGUUUUCGGCGAUAUAAUGUCGGAGGCAAAGCGAAAGCGAUAAGUAUUCCACCUGGGGAGUACGCCGGCAACGGUGAAACUCAAAUGAAUUGACGGGG